RNAcentral lists this ribosomal RNA (253 nucleotides) under uncultured bacterium. RNAcentral describes it as "partial 16S ribosomal RNA". It matches the Rfam family "Bacterial small subunit ribosomal RNA", at positions 524 to 776 of the family's 1533-position model. The record is from RNAcentral.
UACGGAGGGUGCAAACGUUGCUCGGAAUCAUUGGGCGUAAAGCGCACGUAGGCGGCUUGUUAAGUCGGGUGUGAAAUCCCUGGGCUCAACCCAGGAAGUGCACUCGAAACUGGCGAGCUUGAGUACUGAAGAGGGUCGCGGAAUUCCCGGUGUAGAGGUGAAAUUCGUAGAUAUCGGGAGGAACACCAGUGGCGAAGGCGGCGACCUGGGCAGAUACUGACACUGAGGUGCGAAAGCGUGGGGAGCAAACAGG